UACGGAGGGUGCAAGCGUUAUCCGGAUUCACUGGGUUUAAAGGGAGCGUAGGCGGGUUGGUAAGUCAGUGGUGAAAUCCCCGAGCUUAACUUGGGAACUGCCAUUGAUACUAUCAGUCUUGAAUACUGUGGAGGUUAGCGGAAUAUGUCAUGUAGCGGUGAAAUGCUUAGAUAUGACAUAGAACACCAAUUGCGAAGGCAGCUGGCUACACAAUUAUUGACACUGAGGCUCGAAAGCGUGGGGAUCAAACAGG
Molecule: ribosomal RNA, 253 nt
Filed under: uncultured bacterium
Lineage: Bacteria
Description: partial 16S ribosomal RNA
Rfam family: Bacterial small subunit ribosomal RNA
Source: RNAcentral